UCCGUGUUAGUAUAGUGGUGAGUAUCCCCGCCUGUCACGCGGGAGACCGGGGUUCGAUUCCCCGACACGGAG
Molecule: non-coding RNA, 72 nt
Organism: Branchiostoma floridae (Florida lancelet)
Lineage: Eukaryota; Metazoa; Chordata; Leptocardii; Amphioxiformes; Branchiostomatidae
Source: Rfam